Molecule: ribosomal RNA, 468 nt
Filed under: uncultured bacterium
Lineage: Bacteria
Description: partial 16S ribosomal RNA
Rfam family: Bacterial small subunit ribosomal RNA
Source: RNAcentral
GACGAACGCUGGCGGCGUGCUUAACACAUGCAAGUCGAACGGUGAAGCUCCAGCUUGCUGGAGUGGAUCAGUGGCGAACGGGUGAGUAACACGUGAGCAACCUGCCCCUGACUCUGGAAUAAGCGCUGGAAACGGCGUCUAAUACUGGAUACGAGAAGGGUCCGCAUGGGCACCUUCUGGAAAGUUAUUCGGUUGGGGAUGGGCUCGCGGCCUAUCAGCUUGUUGGUGAGGUAAUGGCUCACCAAGGCGACGACGGGUAGCCGGCCUGAGAGGGCGACCGGCCACACUGGGACUGAGACACGGCCCAGACUCCUACGGGAGGCAGCAGUGGGGAAUAUUGCACAAUGGGCGAAAGCCUGAUGCAGCGACGCCGCGUGAGGGAUGACGGCCUUCGGGUUGUAAACCUCUUUCAGCAGGGAAGAAGCGAAAGUGACGGUACCUGAAGAAGAAGCACCGGCUAACUACGUG